RNAcentral lists this ribosomal RNA (137 nucleotides) under uncultured bacterium. RNAcentral's name for it is "partial 16S ribosomal RNA". It matches the Rfam family "Bacterial small subunit ribosomal RNA", at positions 1071 to 1207 of the family's 1533-position model. The record is from RNAcentral.
GGUGUCGGCUUAAGUGCCAUAACGAGCGCAACCCUCGCCGCCAGUUACUAGCAGGUAAUGCUGAGGACUCUGGCGGGACUGCCAUCGUAAGAUGUGAGGAAGGUGGGGAUGACGUCAAAUCAGCACGGCCCUUACGU